Molecule: long non-coding RNA, 670 nt
Filed under: Capsicum annuum
Lineage: Eukaryota; Viridiplantae; Streptophyta; Magnoliopsida; Solanales; Solanaceae
Description: long non-coding RNA (CANN_LNC003965)
Source: RNAcentral
UAAAAAGGUGCUACGAAGAAAACUAUUCCUUGGCCGAGGAGGAUCGUCAUUAUCACUUGUGGACCCUUCGUUGUCCUUUGUCACUUUGUAAUGCCAUAAUAAUGAAGCAUGGCGUGCACGUUGACUUUCAGCAUCAAAACCACAUUAAUGCACAUUAUACAAUCUGCAGACAUACACAAAGUAAAAGAUAUGCACAAUAUCAUAAUGUAUAAAUAAUCAGAAUGUAUAACAUGACGUUAUACAAUCAUCAUACAUUCGCAAAGUAAAUGGUAUUCAAUAUGCAUACAUUCACAAAGUAAAAUGUAUGCCAAAUAUCAUAAUGUAUAUAAGAUCAGAAUGUAUAAUGUGACAUUAUACAAUCUGCAUACAUUCACAAAUUAAAUGGCAUUCAAUAUUCAUGUUCCUUUUCAUGUACAAUAUCCCUCAAAAAUACCUCUCCAAUCUCCGUUUCAGCAAUCGCUCCAACAUCCAAUUCAAGAAGCACUUUGUACAAGGUGCUCACCUCCUAUCUCAAGCCAAAUCCGCCACCUAGCAUCAACACCAACUUCCUCUUCAUCAUCUUAUUCCCUCGCUAAAUUAGCGGAAGAGCAAGCCGAUUUAGCGAUAUCGGCUUAUUUUGAUGUCUUUGUUAUAUGCAAUUGGAUUACAAAAAAAUUAAAAUAAUUUUUAA